AACAAGUAGCUGUGGGAACGUGGUGGCGCAGACCCUUCACCCAGGGAGCCCUGUGGGCUAGAAACACCAGACAGCCAGGAUGUGGCGAGAGACUGCCCAACACACUGUCUGUGUGAGGCAGAGGAAGGAAGGAGAUGAAGGAAGAAACAGGUAGGUAGGAGGGCGAGAUCCCAAGCAAGUCAGGACAACUCCCACGCCUUGCCCAGGAGCCUUAAGAAGCCCAGGCACCUGCUGAGUGAAAGAGGAUAUAUUUAUUGGCUGAGCAAGAAGGGAAGGUACAGUUGGUAAUGGCUGCUUCUAGAAGCCACCAGUCUC
Molecule: long non-coding RNA, 315 nt
Filed under: Homo sapiens (human)
Lineage: Eukaryota; Metazoa; Chordata; Mammalia; Primates; Hominidae
Description: HSALNT0365112
Source: RNAcentral